Molecule: ribosomal RNA, 460 nt
Filed under: uncultured bacterium
Lineage: Bacteria
Description: partial 16S ribosomal RNA
Rfam family: Bacterial small subunit ribosomal RNA
Source: RNAcentral
CCUACGGGGGGCUGCAGUGAGGAAUAUUGGUCAAUGGACGAGAGUCUGAACCAGCCAAGUAGCGUGAAGGAUGACUGCCCUAUGGGUUGUAAACUUCUUUUAUAAAGGAAUAAAACGAGGCACGUGUGCCUUUUUGCAUGUACUUUAUGAAUAAGGAUCGGCUAACUCCGUGCCAGCAGCCGCGGUAAUACGGGGGAUCCGAGCGUUAUCCGGAUUUAUUGGGUUUAAAGGGAGCGUAGAUGGGUUGUUAAGUCAGUUGUGAAAGUUUGCGGCUCAACCGUAAAAUUGCAAUUGAUACUGGCAGUCGUGAGUACAGUUGAGGUAGGCGGAAUUCGUGGUGUAGCGGUGAAAUGCUUAGAUAUCACGAAGAACCCCGAUUGCGAAGGCAGCUUACUAAACUGUGACUGACAUUGAUGCUCGAAAGUGUGGGUAUCAAACAGGAUUAGAUACCCGGGUAGUC